UAUAAGGAAUUUAUCUGAGAUUAAUAGGUAGAAUUUUAAUUUUUGACAAAGACAUCAACAAGAAACAUAAAAAUUAUAUUAUGGACCAGGAUUAGAUACCCUGUUACUUAUAAAUAUAAAAUUUUGGAAUAGUAUAAAUAAUGAAAUUUAACGGAUUUGGCGGCAAGAUAGCCAUUUAGAGGAACCUGCCCUAUAAACGAUGAACCACGAAAAACUCUACUUUUAUUUGUAACCAGUUUGUAUACCGCUGUUGUCAGUCAGUUUCUUCAGAAAACUUUCUUUAUGAGAAAAUCAUUUACUUCAAGUAAAGGUGCAGCUUAUAUAAAAGAUAGAGGUGGGUUACAAUUUUUAGAUUAAUACGAAUAAAGUUUUUGAAAUAACUUUUGAAGGUGGAUUUAAUUGUAAAGUUUAUAAAAACUUGAUGAGAGCUCUAUCUUGUGUACACACCGCCCGUCGCUCUCUUUAUUAAAC
Molecule: ribosomal RNA, 471 nt
Filed under: Darwiniella conjugatum
Lineage: Eukaryota; Metazoa; Arthropoda; Thecostraca; Balanomorpha; Pyrgomatidae
Description: partial 12S ribosomal RNA
Rfam family: Eukaryotic small subunit ribosomal RNA
Source: RNAcentral